UGUUUGUGUACUGUUUUGCUCUGUUGUGACUUAUUUAACAUCUCUUCCAGUUUCACAGGUUAAAGACUUUUUGAAGUAAAGAGGAGCAUCUCAUCUGAACCUGAUGUCUAUCAUGGAUAUUUAACUGCAGUUCUGUGAGUAUCCCAACUUAACCAUGAAGCAUAACUGCAAACCGUAAGUCAUUAAUUUCUCAUUACUCUUGGGCACAUUGAUGUAUUUUGGCUUCCUGGUGAGUUAACCCGUUAACUGACGGUUGUUCUGAGUAGUGAGGAUGUUUUAUUGGUUCAUGGGUUACUUAGGUGUUUGGUUUAUGUUGGUUUUAAUGAUUUGUUAAAAUGGUUACAGGCUCCAAGUUAUUGUUGUAAGCUGGAGUAAUGGGUUGGGUUCUGAUGUCUUCAGUCUUCUUUCACUUUACUGUCCUGAGCUCUGCAUCGUCAUCACAUGAGUGUUGCUCUACUGACGAGGCUGUGGUCUGAGUGAGCAGAGGUGCAUACUGGGAUACAGAGCUGUCUAAAGUCUACAGGUCUGUAGACACGCCCCCUCAGGGGAAACCGAGUGUUUGAGAAACUGUCGUGUCGUCAGUUACAUGGACUGGAAUGUUCUUAAAGAUGGAGACAGGGAUUCAGAAGGAGAAACACCAGGGGGAGAUGAGGGGGCUCCUCAUCUCAACGACUAAAACACAACUUCAGUCUGACACAGAGAACCAUGGAACGCAUUCAACAGUCCCCUCCAGGCACCGUGACUACUCAGGAACAGUUUCAUUUCCAAGAAGGUCUUAUUUGGGGCCAUCCCCAUAUGGAUCCUGCUCCUCAAGAGCCACCCCCCUCCACUGGGUGGUCUUCUGAACAGAUGAUCUCCUUCCUGUCCUCAGGCUGACUAAAGCUGCACCGUUUACAUCUGUGAAGGCCCCUCAAUCACUAAACCACUGGACUACAAACACAUGACUUCAGAGAUGUUGAAUCAACCUGGAACACAUUUUGGAGACGCCAAGCAUAAUCCAUCACCAAUGUGGGACGCCACUGAAGAAUGUUGUACAUAAUUCACGUCUCUGGAGACAUUGGUUGUUCAGUUAUGGGUGCCCUGGCAGGAGAGCUGGGGGCGGGGGGGUGUUGGAAGGUUAUUUGCUAUGAGGUUUUUACCCUGCAUGAUUGUUUGGCCUUUUAUGGCUCAGUGGUGUGUGUGUGUGUGUGUGUGUGUGUGUUUGGGUUUGACAUGAGAUGGAAGAUUUUUGAGUAUCGCUAGGGUUCUACUGUGUGUGUGCGUGCGUGUGUCUCCCACUCACACCUGGCAUGGGGUUCUACGUGCCUGUCCUGGGUUCUAUGUGUGUGUGUCCGGCUUACUUUGACACUGAUAAUGUUCAUACGGGGGUCUGUGUGAUUGGCUUGGGAUAUUGGAAUGGUCAACUAAGUCAUACCUGAUGGACGGCCACACGUUUACUUGAGGCCUCCAGGAGACAUGAUGAGCCCUGAACGACGCUCCGGAGCGAGAUCCAACACACUGGGCAGGAAGGAGAGUAUCCAACACACUGGGCAGGAAGGAGAGUAUCCAAAUCAAGUGUAAAAGGAUGCAAGCGGCGUGUUCAGAUCAGCGACUUCAAACUAGGACUACACCAAUCAGGAUCAAUGGAGGAUGGACACCUAAAGGCAUUCCACAAGGACUCUGAAGUUGGAAAGGAACCUCAAUGGAUGUUCAAGAUGACCUUCAGACCUGUAAUGAGACGGCUCUUCCUACCUGGCUGGAUUGAUGGAGAGCCCUGUGGAUCUUGUCUUGCUCUCAGUUGCACGUCUUCUCAGGCUGAACUGUAAUUGUUUCGGACAGGACUAGCUGAAUGAUUGGUUCCCUUAAAUCAGAACCAAUCCGGGAACUCCAGCUAGUGCGCUCUUCGAGCUGAAGUUGUGCUCUUCAGCUGAGGUGGUAAGGAAACCUUCACUGGGGCUUCAAGGUGUAAAGGGGAGAAUGUUUCAAAGUGUUCCAUGGUGCUCUGAUGAAGACCGUUGUUGUGUUCCACUGGCUGAGGGGAAGAACCCACACAUCUUCCUCCUGGCCUUUCUCCUCUGAGAAUCCUGGCGCCAUCUUGAAGGAUAUUCCAGCUCAUGUAACUGAUGUCACGACAGAUUCUCAAACACUUGGUUUCUCCUGAGGGGCGUGUCUAUGGAACUGAAGACUUCAGACAGCACUGUAUCCCAGCAUGCAUCUCUGCUCACUCAGACCACACCCCCAUGAGUAGGAUGCAACACUCUAGUGAUGGAGAUGUAGAGUUUUAUAAGUAACGAGGGAGCAGACUAAGGUGAUUAGAACAAGAUGGAAUGUAAAGUCUGUAAAUCUUUAAGCCAUGAAGAUGGUUGGAUAGUUCAGGAAUUGGGCUUUUAUUAUGGGCAGUCCUUUCACUCAGAUGCCCACUUCUCACUGGAGCUGUACAUGGUUUGGCUGGCUGGCAUGAUUUGCUGUUGGUGAUGAGGCGGUCAGGGUGACGUUGCAGGGCUAUGGUCGGCUCUCUGUGAGCUCAACGUUUAGAUUUGCUCUGUAUGCUUUGUACCCUGAAUAAUCUAGAUAAUUGUAAAAUGUAGACACGGUUUUGUAUUGAAUGAUUCCCGGAUUUUAGGUUUAAAGUUGUUGUGGGACGUACAUGGUAGUUUGGUUCUUCGUAUGGUUUUGAGUGAUAACUUGUACACACUGGGUGCAUAAUAAUGUAAAGGUACACUGAAUAGUAUUAAUGACCAACAGCAACAAACAGAUCUCCUCAAGGUAAGUCUGUUGGCUGUGUUUUAAUGAAGACCAUCGCUGGACUUCAGGAUCUUCCUCCGUUCAGCUCAAGGUGAGGUGCUGGUUCUGUUUUCUUUGGUUGGUUCCGGCCGGAAUGUUCGGAUUCCAGUCGGACGGUUUGUGCUUCCCGCCGUGGAAGGUUCUGAGUGCGGUCACUUGAUUUAGUCCCAAUGGUUAGCAUAGAACGUUGUAACGCUCCUUAAACAACUAAAGUACUAAAAUAUGUUGAUAAUUUCCGAUGGUUGCGCCGUACUUUUAACCACGAUGACGUUGCGGGACUCUCACUGCGUACAAAACAGCGUUCUACUUGCGGGCCCAUUUUUGACAUCAGGGAUGGCUGAAAAUCAUUUCAAGGUGGAAGAUAAUUUGACAUUUCUUCAACGGAACCCAGCACCUGAAUAUGGCUGAGUAUAUUUGAUUUAAUAUCGAUACUGCUAGGUGUUCUUUGUUACUUCAGCUUUUGUACGUUCUAAAUAUCUGCUGUCAUUAAUUGCCACAGAAGUUAAACCCUACCCAAUGGAAUGACGUUAAACAUCGACUUUGGUGCCGAGUUACCAACUGGAUAAUAUCAAAGCUAAAUUAAUGGCCGUCAUUCCCACAUGUUACAGUAGAAGAUACUCUAGAACUGUACAAGGUUAAAAAGGUAACAUGUAGUUUGUCCCAAGGUGUCUACCUCCUCACCCAGUGCCAGACCUCCACCUCCUCACCCAGAGCCAGACCUCCACCUCCUCACCCAGAGCCAGACCUCCACCUCCUGUCAGAAGUCCUCCAGAACAGCUGAGAGGCGAGGCUGAGAGGCUGGGGACCGGAGGCUUGUGGUGCCAGGAUGGACCGGAGACUGAGGCUGGAGACCAGGGGCCUGCAGCACCGGACCAGAGGGUAACCAUCACCAAGCUCAUCUGAAACACUAAAAUCCACGACCAGGAAUCCAUGGCUGAAGGAGCUGAUGGAGGAGCUGUGCUGAAAGAGCUGAUGGAGGAGCCGUGCUGAAGGCCCUGGGCUGGUGGAGGAACUGAUGGAGGCCCUGCCUGGUGGAGGAUUCCUGUCGUUGGACCAGGACUCUGUCUGAGGAGUGCUGCUGGAGGAGCUGACACGCUGGAGGACGAUUAGGAAUCGCCCAACAAGGAUUCCUCAACGUGUUUCUGGAGCGGAGGCGAGCUGGUAGGGGAGCCGUGAAUCUGGAGGAUGACCAUCACUCUACCAACAAGGAUUACCAGGACUCUGGCUGAGGAGAGCUGAUGGAGGAGCCAAGACUCUGGGGGACGACAUCACUCCACCAACCAGGAUCCUCAGACCAAUUACGUUUGUAACCAGACCAGGAAUCUGGAGGACUGAUGGAGAAGCCGUACAUCUGGAAGGCAAAUCCUGAGGACCACCAGGACUCUACCAUCAAGGAUUCCUCAUACACCUGAGCUGAACCUCACCUGAUCCUGUUUGGUCGGGGGCAGACACACCUGAGCUAAACCCGCCCUGAUCAUGACAUCCUGCUGGUCCCGUCUCCUCAGUUCAUCUGAGCCUCGUCCUCCAGAAGACCUGCUGAGCUCAGCAGUCUGAGGCUGAUGGAUCAAUGACCUCCAGUGGGAGUGAUCUUCUUGACCCCACAUGUAACCGUGUGCUUCCACACGCCUUUCCCUCUCAUCUGUCACUAACUUCACUACUCUCUACUGCUUCCUCUUUUCUUCCUUCUCUGUGGUUCGAACCUUUACACUGAAGGCGCGUCUUCCUGCCCUCAGAGGGUUUAGCGUUAGGGUUGAGAGUCAGGGUUUAGAGUCAGGGACAGAGCUGGUCAGGGAGGACUGCUUUUACACAAACCUCUUCACUUGCUUUCGGAAUGGUGGUGACAUUUCGAAAAUAUUCAUUUGGGAAAAUGUUUUCCUCUGCUUUCCUUUAAAAUUGUAUUAAACUUCUGUCAAGUGUUUUUGUUUAUAUAUUAAAAUCCCACAUUGACUUCUACAUGUUUGUUGCGGUUCAUUUAAUUGUCCUUUAACUUGGUUAAUGU
Long non-coding RNA from Gadus chalcogrammus (walleye pollock), 4762 nucleotides. RefSeq lists it as uncharacterized. The transcript has 9 exons. The record is from RefSeq and is a predicted model, not a curated record. Lineage: Eukaryota; Metazoa; Chordata; Actinopteri; Gadiformes; Gadidae.